Non-coding RNA from Ictidomys tridecemlineatus (thirteen-lined ground squirrel), 79 nucleotides. The record is from Rfam. Lineage: Eukaryota; Metazoa; Chordata; Mammalia; Rodentia; Sciuridae.
GUGGAUGUAGCUUAGUGGUAAAGCCCUUACCUAGCAUGCAUGAAUGCAUGAGGUUCUGGGUUCAAUCCCCAACACCACA